Ribosomal RNA from Streptomyces sp. HGB0020, 3125 nucleotides. It matches the Rfam family "Bacterial large subunit ribosomal RNA". The record is from Rfam. NCBI's taxonomy places the organism in Bacteria, Bacillati, Actinomycetota, Actinomycetes, Kitasatosporales, Streptomycetaceae.
GGCCAAGUUUUUAAGGGCGCACGGUGGAUGCCUUGGCACCAGGAACCGAUGAAGGACGUGGGAGGCCACGAUAGGCCCCGGGGAGUCGUCAACCAGGCUUUGAUCCGGGGGUGUCCGAAUGGGGAAACCCGGCAGUCGUCAUGGGCUGUCACCCGCUGCUGAACACAUAGGCAGUGUGGAGGGAACGCGGGGAAGUGAAACAUCUCAGUACCCGCAGGAAGAGAAAACAACCGUGAUUCCGGGAGUAGUGGCGAGCGAAACCGGAUGAGGCCAAACCGUAUGCGUGUGAGACCAGGCAGGGGUUGCGCAUGCGGGGUUGUGGGAUCUCUUGUCCAUGGUCUGCCGGCCAUGAGGCGAGUGAGAAACCGUUGAUGUAGGCGAAGGACAUGCGAAAGGUCCGGCGUAGAGGGUAAGACCCCCGUAGUCGAAACGUCAGCGGCUCGUUGGAGAGACACCCAAGUAGCACGGGGCCCGAGAAAUCCCGUGUGAAUCUGGCGGGACCACCCGCUAAGCCUAAAUAUUCCCUGGUGACCGAUAGCGGAUAGUACCGUGAGGGAAUGGUGAAAAGUACCCCGGGAGGGGAGUGAAAUAGUACCUGAAACCGUGUGCCUACAAGCCGUGGGAGCGUCGCGUUGAGUGCUUGCACUCAACGUCGUGACUGCGUGCCUUUUGAAGAAUGAGCCUGCGAGUUUGCGGUGUGUUGCGAGGUUAACCCGGGUGGGGUAGCCGUAGCGAAAGCGAGUCCGAACAGGGCGGUGGAGUAGCACGCUCAAGACCCGAAGCGGAGUGAUCUAGCCAUGGGCAGGUUGAAGCGGCUGUAAGAGGUCGUGGAGGACCGAACCCACCAGGGUUGAAAACCUGGGGGAUGACCUGUGGUUAGGGGUGAAAGGCCAAUCAAACUCCGUGAUAGCUGGUUCUCCCCGAAAUGCAUUUAGGUGCAGCGUCGUGUGUUUCUUGCCGGAGGUAGAGCACUGGAUAGGCGAUGGGCCCUACCGGGUUACUGACCUUAGCCAAACUCCGAAUGCCGGUAAGUGAGAGCGCGGCAGUGAGACUGUGGGGGAUAAGCUCCAUGGUCGAGAGGGAAACAGCCCAGAGCAUCGACUAAGGCCCCUAAGCGUACGCUAAGUGGGAAAGGAUGUGGAGUCGCAGAGACAACCAGGAGGUUGGCUUAGAAGCAGCCACCCUUGAAAGAGUGCGUAAUAGCUCACUGGUCUAGUGAUUCCGCGCCGACAAUGUAGCGGGGCUCAAGCGUACCGCCGAAGUCGUGUCAUUGCAGCAACACUCCCAACGGAGGCUGUGAUGGGUAGGGGAGCGUCGUCUGCCGGGUGAAGCAGCCGCGUAAGCGAGUUGUGGACGGUUGACGAGUGAGAAUGCAGGCAUGAGUAGCGAUUCACACGUGAGAAACGUGUGCGCCGAUUGACUAAGGGUUCCUGGGUCAAGCUGAUCUGCCCAGGGUAAGUCGGGACCUAAGGCGAGGCCGACAGGCGUAGUCGAUGGAUAACCGGUUGAUAUUCCGGUACCCGCUGUGAAGCGUCAAACAUCGAAUCCAGUGAUGCUAAGGCCGUGAAGCCGCCGGUUGAGUCUUCGGACGAGGUCGGAGUGGUGGAGCCGCUGACCCAAGUUGGUAGUAGGUGAGUGAUGGGGUGACGCAGGAAGGUAGUCCAGCCCGGGCGGUGGUUGUCCCGGGGUAAGGGUGUAGCCCGAGUGGUAGGCAAAUCCGCCACUCAUCAUGGGUGAGACCUGAUGCCGAGCCGAUUGUGGUGAAGUGGAUGAUCCUAUGCUGUCGAGAAAAGCCUCUAGCGAGUUUCAUGGCGGCCCGUACCCUAAACCGACUCAGGUGGUCUGGUAGAGAAUACCGAGGCGUUCGGGUGAACUAUGGUUAAGGAACUCGGCAAAAUGCCCCCGUAACUUCGGGAGAAGGGGGGCCACACCCGGUGAGAGGACGUGCUCCUUGAGCUGGGGGUGGCCGCAGAGACCAGCGAGAAGCGACUGUUUACUAAAAACACAGGUCCGUGCGAAGCCGUAAGGCGAUGUAUACGGACUGACGCCUGCCCGGUGCUGGAACGUUAAGGGGACCGGUUAGUCACUCUUCGGGGUGGCGAAGCUGAGAACUUAAGCGCCAGUAAACGGCGGUGGUAACUAUAACCAUCCUAAGGUAGCGAAAUUCCUUGUCGGGUAAGUUCCGACCUGCACGAAUGGCGUAACGACUUCUCGACUGUCUCAACCAUAGGCCCGGUGAAAUUGCACUACGAGUAAAGAUGCUCGUUUCGCGCAGCAGGACGGAAAGACCCCGGGACCUUUACUACAGUUUGAUAUUGGUGUUCGGUUCGGCUUGUGUAGGAUAGCUGGGAGACUUUGAAACGCGGACGCCAGUUCGUGUGGAGUCGUCGUUGAAAUACCAGUCUGGUCGUGCUGGAUGUCUAACCUGGGUCCGUGAUCCGGAUCAGGGACAGUGUCUGAUGGGUAGUUUAACUGGGGCGGUUGCCUCCUAAAGGGUAACGGAGGCGCCCAAAGGUUCCCUCAGCCUGGUUGGCAAUCAGGUGUUGAGUGUAAGUGCACAAGGGAGCUUGACUGUGAGACCGACGGGUCGAGCAGGGACGAAAGUCGGGACUAGUGAUCCGGCGGUGGCUUGUGGAAGCGCCGUCGCUCAACGGAUAAAAGGUACCCCGGGGAUAACAGGCUGAUCUUCCCCAAGAGUCCAUAUCGACGGGAUGGUUUGGCACCUCGAUGUCGGCUCGUCGCAUCCUGGGGCUGGAGUCGGUCCCAAGGGUUGGGCUGUUCGCCCAUUAAAGCGGUACGCGAGCUGGGUUUAGAACGUCGUGAGACAGUUCGGUCCCUAUCCGCUGUGCGCGUAGGAGUCUUGAGAAGGGCUGUCCCUAGUACGAGAGGACCGGGACGGACGAACCUCUGGUGUGCCAGUUGUUCUGCCAAGGGCAUGGCUGGUUGGCUACGUUCGGGAGGGAUAACCGCUGAAAGCAUCUAAGCGGGAAGCCUGCUUCGAGAUGAGGACUCCCACCUACAUAAGAGGGUAAGGCUCCCAGUAGACGACUGGGUUGAUAGGCCGGAUCUGGAAGCCAGGUAACUGGUGGAGGUGACCGGUACUAAUAGGCCGAGGGCUUGUCCUC